AAAGCUCUGCCUUGCUCGUGUGAAGGUGUCUCUAUUGAGUCAACACAUUUGCUAAGGGAGCCUGCCUCUAGUUGUGUAGCAAAUGCCUUUAUGAGGAAUUGUAAAGCAAUUAGGAGGGCACCCACUUAUUUGUGGGGUCGGGUUCAACAGAGUUUUCCGGACACGGCACGGCGGAGUUUUU
RNAcentral lists this non-coding RNA (181 nucleotides) under Actinomycetes bacterium. Its description in RNAcentral is "6S RNA". It matches the Rfam family "6S / SsrS RNA". From Rfam's summary of the family: E. coli 6S RNA was the first non coding RNA to be sequenced, but its function was unknown until recently. It consists of 184 nucleotides that fold into an extended hairpin structure with a large single-stranded internal bulge. Lineage: Bacteria; Bacillati; Actinomycetota; Actinomycetes. The record is from RNAcentral.